CCCCUUUGUAUCAUCAAAGCCUCAGUCCAAACAGCAUCUCCUGAUUGUACCAACUUUUUAAUCUAGAGCUAUGCUUCUUGAGGGCAAGUCUGUAUUUGAUUCAUCUUUCUACUCACAAGCCUUGCACAGUCCGAGGCACCAGGUACGCCCUCCAUAAAAAUUGCCUUCAAUAGAUGAGUGGCAGCUCUGUGAGAUGAGUCACUGCUGGUUUCCUUGCUUGGAUUAGGUCAGCCCUGCAGCCCAGCUGGAGCUCUUCAAUUACUCAAGGCAUGUGCCCAGGCGUGAGAAAUUCUGGCUCCCUGCUCAGCGUAGAUAACACCAUCGCUUAAGCUGCCUCUUUCCAAUUCGUUCCUCCCAAGUCUGUCUUCAAGAUAGAGGACACCAGAUCCUCAUCCUGGGCGCAUCAAUUCUAAACCAGGUAAAUCUUCUUAAUAUAAUGCUAUUGCAGCUCUGAGAAUCUGUGUUUUAAAUACAAACAAGCUACACCUGUGUUUGCAUCUUCAGCGCCUAUCGUGAUGGCAUAUCUGGCACCAGAGGAGUUAGUCUCUUCUAUGAGCGUACCAUAGAGACCCUCUGAGCCCCUCCCCUCCCUCUCUCCCAUGCUUUCUUGAGCCCACGCAGCCAGGCGCCUGUCCCACCACUCCACCUUGAGGAGGCCCUUUACCUGGGAAAGGAAAGGAGCCAUCAGCCACCAUCAUGAUUUGGAAGGAGAAGGGAAAGAAAGAGUGGAACCACCCUGCCUAAGAAGGUGGGGCGUAUUUAAGCAUAUUGUGUUGAGCGGAACAGUAAGAAGCCCCAAACUGGGGGAGAGGAGGCCUAGGAGAGAAGAGUCCCGAGAAGGGGACAGAAGCCGAAAUGAAUGGCAGGAAGCAAGACUGGCCAAUGGGCAACUUCCUGGAGUCAGGAAACGAUUUUUAAGACAGUCACCUUGAUAGAGCAACCUCGCACUGUCAUCUUCAUUGUCCUGUAAUGCCACGCCAUGACCCCAAGCAUGCAAACAAGCAUCGAUCGGCAGCCCAAUGUUAGUGGAACUUAUGGGAAUGGACAGACGCAGGACCAGAGCAGGGUGAGAGAGCUCGGAAAGAUGGGAACCACAGGAACAAAGGGAACAGCGAAGCCAGCUGCAUUCUGUGACCCUGUGAAAAAGUACUUUUGUUAAUGAGCAAAAAGACAUGUCAAUGAGAAACGUUUUUCUCUAAAUAUAAACUUCCAGCAACUUUUCUGUUGAAAUCAUUUCAGUAAGAACAGAAUAGCCCACUCCUACCUCAGGGAGCCGAGCCGUCUUGGACGCAGAGAAGGAGCCCGGAUUUGCAACCCAGCUGCAGAGCUUCAGAUAAGGGGUUUUUGGACGCUACAUUCUCCUGACCCUAUAGCUUCCAAGGAAACAGGACUCAGUCUGCCCCUCGGCCCAGGCUGGUGUUAAUUCCUUUAUACACAGCGCUAUUUGCUUUGAGGGCAUUAAAACACAGCUUCAUUUGAAUUUUAGCUGAAUCCCACCAUUUCCCCAAGUCCUGUAACAAGUUGGUGGCUUCCUGCGUCCGAUGAAGCACUCCCUGGUCCCCAGAGCACUGUCCCAUGCUGUAACAAGUCAGUACACCUCCUCGUGGACCACACAUUUGUCCCUGGGGAUCUCUGCCUUCCCUAUUUGAGACAUUCCAGGGAAGUGAUCCCUGGACGCAUGUGGGAAUAUUGUGGAAGGUGAGGGAUUCUCUCAGCACAAGAGAAAGGAAAGGUUGGCCCCAAAAGCUCUAAGAUUUAGGGUUCUCUGGUUUUAUGUAUAUAUAUGUGAAACAAAGGAAUGCAGCAUAGUAGGGAAUAACUGAGGAUUUUGCAGUCAGGCAGUCCUGGGUGAAAUGUCCAGCUCCGCCCCUCACUAGCUGCGCGUUACCCUACCUGGCUCAGCUUUUGUCAUCUUUAUUCUUGGGUGUUGUGAGUAUUCAAGGAGAUAAUGCUUGAGAAAUGCUUAUCAUAUGCCUGUCUCCUAUACUAGCCACUCAAUAAUGUUAACUACUCCUGGUGGGAAACUAGGAGUGGAUAUGAAUACGAAACGGAAAGAAUCAUGGGAAACUAAAGAUAUCAGCUCUCUUGAGGUGGUAGGAUUUGGCUCAUUUUCUUUGAUAUCCUAUAUUGCUUUCCUUUUCUUGUGACGUUUCCUUUGGCUCCUGGCAUCAGCCGGACCACAGGCCUGCUUCUUGUGAAGGGCUCUCCGACUCGGUUGACGGCAACUCUGUUCUUCCAGUUGAAAAUCCUGGAGACCUCCUUGAUCCUGUCUCUCCUGCCUUGCAUCUAAAGGAGUAAAGCUUAUUGGCUCUUCCUUCAAAACCCCAUCACCUGCCACCUUCACCUGUCCAUCCUGAUCCCUUCAACUAUCACCACUUGCCUUGGUUAUUGAAACUGCAUCCUAACUGGGCUUCCUGCCUCCCCCAUCAAUCCCCUACAGCAGCAGGCUCCACUCAGCAGCCAGGAAAACCCUUUUCAUAUGCAAAUCUGGCUGCCCCCUCCUCCCCUCAAAACCCUCCAAUGAUGCCCACCUCACCAAAAUCUUUACAAUAGCUUACGAGGUCCUAUACAAUCUGGCUCUGGUUACCUCUCUGAAUUUCUCUCGCACCCUCUCCUUUUCAUUACUCCACAGCAGCCACACUAGCUUCUUGGCUAUUCCUUGAAAUACCAACGGUGCUUUCACCUCAGGGCCUUUGCAUGUGCUGUUUCUUCUGCCUGGAGCACUCUUCCUCUACAUUUCCACAUGGCUCACUCCCUCACUUCCUUCAAGUCUACACCUGAGUGUCACUUUCUUGGAGAUGCCCCCUGACCACUGCAUGUGUGCACAUGCACAAACACACAUGCAUGCACAUAAAUGGCAAAUAUUUCCAAUCCCACCACACCCUGUCUCCCACACUCAAAUUUAUUUCCCCCAUAUCAUCUGUUGCCAUUGGACUCACAUCAUAUUGACCCUUCUGUGUGUUUAUUUCCUAGCCCUGCCACUAGAAAAUACGUUCCGCUUGAUCAGGAGCUUACUUUAGUCUGUUCACUACUGUGUCUCCAGCAUGUAGAACAAAGUUGGCAUAAAGUAGAUAUUCAAUUAAUAUUUUUAAUUGAACUGUAUGAAUGAAAUCAAAGGUUUUAAUAGGUUUUAAUUAAUUCCCAUGCACUCCUGAGCAGUAGAGACAAUAUCAUUUUUCCUUUUGAUCACAUGAAACAAACAAUAGAAAAAGAGUAAGUGACUUUCUCCCAGCCAUAUCAGGGCCAGGAACUUUUCACCUCCUGCUUGUAUAGAAAAGCAGAGGUCUCUGAAGAACCCCCAGAGGUCAUGGGCUCAGAAGUCUUUGUUCACACACACACACACACACACACGUACACCCUUGCAUAC
RNAcentral lists this long non-coding RNA (3367 nucleotides) under Equus caballus (horse). RNAcentral describes it as "lncRNA (ENSECAG00000058807.1)". The record is from RNAcentral. Lineage: Eukaryota; Metazoa; Chordata; Mammalia; Perissodactyla; Equidae.